This 593-nucleotide ribosomal RNA is filed under the name Plagiostoma fraxini. RNAcentral's name for it is "LSU rRNA". It matches the Rfam family "Eukaryotic large subunit ribosomal RNA", at positions 13 to 629 of the family's 3401-position model. The record is from RNAcentral. Lineage: Eukaryota; Fungi; Ascomycota; Sordariomycetes; Diaporthales; Gnomoniaceae.
AGGUAGGAAUACCCGCUGAACUUAAGCAUAUCAAUAAGCGGAGGAAAAGAAACCAACAGGGAUUGCCCUAGUAACGGCGAGUGAAGCGGCAACAGCUCAAAUUUGAAAUCUGGCUUCGGCCCGAGUUGUAAUUUGCAGAGGAUGUUUAUGGUGCGGACCUUCCGAGUUCCCUGGAACGGGACGCCACAGAGGGUGAGAGCCCCGUCUGGUUGGAUACCAAACCUGUGUUAAACUCCUUCAACGAGUCGAGUAGUUUGGGAAUGCUGCUCUAAAUGGGAGGUAAAUCUCUUCUAAAGCUAAAUACUGGCCAGAGACCGAUAGCGCACAAGUAGAGUGAUCGAAAGAUGAAAAGCACCUUGAAAAGGGGGUUAAACAGUACGUGAAAUUGUUGAAAGGGAAGCGUUUAUGACCAGACUUGUGUCGUGUGGCUCAUCCGAGGUUCUCCCCGGUGCACUCCACGCGGCUCAGGCCAACAUCGGUUCUUGUUGGAGGAUAAGAACAGUAGGAACGUAGCUCUCUUUCGGGGGAGUGUUAUAGCCUAUUGUACGAUACUCUGGCGGGGACCGAGGACCGCGCUUCGGCUAGGAUGUUGG